CCCUUAGAUGUUCUGGGCCGCACGCGCGCUACACUGAUGCAUGCAACAAGUCUUUUCCUUGGCCGAGAGGUCUGGGCAAUCUUUGAAUAUGCAUCGUGAUGGGGAUAGACGAUUGCAAUUAUUCGUCUUCAACGAGGAAUUCCUAGUAAACGCAAGUCAUCAGCUUGCAUUGAUUACGUCCCUGCCCUUUGUACACACCGCCCGUCGCACCUACCGAUUGAAUGGUCCGGUGAAGGCUUCGGAGGCGGCUUUCUCAAUGUUUAUUCGGCGAGACUGCUGCCAAAGUUGAAUGAACCUUACCAUUUAGAGGAAGGUGAAGUCGUAACA
RNAcentral lists this ribosomal RNA (327 nucleotides) under uncultured eukaryote. Its description in RNAcentral is "partial 18S ribosomal RNA". It matches the Rfam family "Eukaryotic small subunit ribosomal RNA", at positions 1470 to 1796 of the family's 1831-position model. The record is from RNAcentral.